RNAcentral lists this transfer RNA (70 nucleotides) under Ictidomys tridecemlineatus (thirteen-lined ground squirrel). RNAcentral describes it as "Spermophilus tridecemlineatus (thirteen-lined ground squirrel) tRNA". It matches the Rfam family "tRNA". From Rfam's summary of the family: Transfer RNA (tRNA) molecules are approximately 80 nucleotides in length. Their secondary structure includes four short double-helical elements and three loops (D, anti-codon, and T loops). Lineage: Eukaryota; Metazoa; Chordata; Mammalia; Rodentia; Sciuridae. The record is from Rfam by way of RNAcentral.
GGGGUUGUGGCUCAGUGGUAGAGUGCUUGCCUAGCAUGUGAGAAGUCCUGGGUUUGAUUCCUCAGCUCCA